CUGCUUGCUUCAGCAACACAUACACUAAAAUUAAAAAGAUACACAAAGGACUGGUAUGGCCUCUGCUAGGAUAACAUGCAAAUUCAGGGAGCAUUCCUUAUUUUU
Dipodomys ordii (Ord's kangaroo rat) is the source of this 105-nucleotide small nuclear RNA. The record is from Ensembl. NCBI's taxonomy places the organism in Eukaryota, Metazoa, Chordata, Mammalia, Rodentia, Heteromyidae.